RNAcentral lists this long non-coding RNA (5614 nucleotides) under Homo sapiens (human). RNAcentral describes it as "HSALNT0225020". The record is from RNAcentral. Lineage: Eukaryota; Metazoa; Chordata; Mammalia; Primates; Hominidae.
UCAUGUGCAUGUAUAGAACUACUUUGAGCAUUUCUUGUAGGUCUGGUCUAGUGGCAACGAAUUCCUUUAGCAUUUGCUUCUCUGGGACUUACUUUAUUUCUCCUUUGUUUAUGAAGCUUUGUUUGACAGGAUAUAAAAUUCUUGGCUUAGACUUUUUUCUUAAAGGAGGCUAAAAGUUGGCCCCUAAUCUCUUCUAGCUUGUAAGGUUUCUGAGAAGUCCACUGUUAGCCUGAUGGGAUUUCCGUUAUAGGUGAUUUGAUGCUUCUCUCUAACUGCUUUUAAGAUUUGCCCCUUCAUAUUAACCUUGGAUAGUCUGGUGACUAUAUAUUUUGAUGAUGUUUGUUUUGCAUAGCAUUUUCUAGCUGUUCUCUGAAUUCCUUGUAUCUGGAUGUCUAUGUCUCUAAAAAGAUUGGGGACAGUUUCCUAAAUUAUUCCCUCAAAUAUAUUUUCCAAACUUCUUACUUUUUCUUUUUCUUCCUAAGAAUACCUAUAGGUCAUAGGUUUUGUUGCUUUACAUAAUCCCAUAUUUCUCAAAGGCUUUGUUCAUUUUCCAAAAAUUUCUUCUUUAUUUUUAUCUGACUUUGUUAAUUUGAAAUACUAGUCUUUGAGCUCUGAAAUUCUUUCUUCUUCUUGGUCUUGUCUCUUGUUACAACUUUCAACUGUGUUCUGAAGUUCUUUUAGUCAAUAUUUCAUUUCCAGGAGUUCUGGGGGUUUUGUUGUUGUUGCUGUUUUUAAAUAAAUCUACAUCAUCUUGUAUCUCCUGGACUGUUUUUCUGUUUUCUUUGUGUUGAUUUUCAACUUUCUCUGGGAUAUCAUUGAGCUUCCUUACAAUCUAUAUUUUGAAUUCUUUAUCUGUCAUUUCAAAAUUUUCAUUCUGACUAGGAUAAUAUUCUGUUUCUUGAUGGUGUUGGAGUUCUUGUGUUUGUUUCUUCUCAUUUGCAGAAACUGUCACUCCAUUUUUUUUUUUUUUUUUUUUUUUUUUUUUGAGGGGGAAUCUCUCUCUGUCACCCAGGCUGGAGUGCUGUGGUUCGAUCUUGGCUCAUUGCAACCUUCACCUCCUGGGUUCAAGUGAUUCUCCUGCCUCAGCCUCCUGAGUAACUGGGAUUAGAAGUGCAUGCCACCAUGCCUGGCUAAUUUUUGUAUUUUUAGUAGAGAUAGGGUUUUACCGUGUUGGCCAAGCUGGUCUCGAACUCCUAACCUCAAGUGAUCCACCAGCCUUGGCCUCCCAAAGUGUUGGGGUUACAGGCAUGAGCCACUGUGCCCGACCCAAGCUGUCACUUCUUAUUUUUGAAUUUAUUUUCGCUUGGAUGGGAUUUCCCACCCCGUCCUUGAGACUGUGGCUGUAGAGUGUGUUGGGCUGGGUCUUCCAGCUUUGCUUCUGUAAGUAGUUGAAAUGGUCAGAUGAAACCAGGGCAUCUGUGCUGUUGGCCUUUCACUGGGGAAGGCAGAACUACUCAGCUGGAGCAAUGGAGGCUGGCAGCCAUGGGGUGGAUAAUCUGUACUUUCCUCCUGCAAGAGCAGUGGUGGAUUUCACUGUUGGGGGCACACAAAGGUGCCUAGUUUUCUCUGCUCCCUCCCUGGCCCAGGGGGUGGCAGGGGCUCUUAGGGAGCUGAGUUCUCAGGAGAACGCCUGGUCAUAACCAAAAUGCACAUGCAGGAGUAGACUGACCUGACACAGAAGGCAGGCCCUGUUUAGUGGGGAUAGCUGAGGUAAGCAGUUGUGCAGUACAGCACUGUUUUAAAUGUUGUUCUUGUGUAGUUAUAAUAGUUUUCCUUUUCCUUUGAAAAAUGAUCUAGUUUGACAAUAAACUGUUUGAUCACAGUAUUACUUAAGUGUCCUCACUCUCUCUUCUCCUGCUUCUGUAUUUCUUGCCUUGACUACUCAUAUGUUCCUGAAAUCCAUCUACUGAGAGGGGAGCAUUACACAACUGAAACAUCACUGCAGAGGUGUCAUUUAUAUAAACAUUAUGUGAAUGGUGUCACUGGAAUUUUUUAGUUCACAAUCUAUACUCCCAGCUUUUGCAUCUGUCUCGUUCACGAAUCUCUAAAUGAUUUGCUUUCCCCAGGCUGAUGAAGACUGGGGCUCAAAAAGACCCAAUCUUGGAAAUGUAAUUUUAUCUCCAAAAUUAAUCAGGACAACGCCUUAUAUUCAUUCCCCCACUGCUCCUCACACUUGGCUUGAUUCAUUCCUCAGCCUAGUUUUUUGACUCGUAGCCCUUUAAUAGAAGAUCUAGGUUACCUUUGACACUUCCAUCCUCUGCAAAGUACAAUCUCUGUUAUUAAUCUCCUUGCUUCAUGUGUGAUUUGCGGGUCAUCUGUCCUAUGUGGCUCCAAGUGGUCUCCUAGAAAAGGAAUAGAAUACAGAAUAUGAUAAACCUAGGACAGCAGUUAACCCAGUGACCAUUCACUCUCCUGACCCUCCGGGAGAUCAGAUGUGCUAACACUUCAUGAUCCUGGAAAAGGCUGACUCAUUUCUCUGGUACAAUCUACCCUAACUUAAAAUCCUUUAGAAAGUCCCUGGAACAAACAUGAUUCUCUCCAGACAACAGAUCAGAGAAGCUUUAAGAACAAUUCUAGCCUUUGUAAUACUUAGGGAGCAGGGCAACCAAAUGGCUUCAUGGAAAGAGCCCUAAAAUGGGAGUUAUGGGAUCUAUGGAGACCACCUAAGAAUGCACCUCUGAAAAAUACAGCUUGGUAAUCCACAACCUGAUAACUGUGUCUUAGAUUCCCUUGCUGGGGCUGCACAACAAACCCCUGAGAGAGACUAAAGCAUACAUUGCACUGUGAGUACAGCAUGAAUUCUGGUUGCCUUUGCCAUGGGGAAUGUCCUCCAUUGACUAACCCAGGGUCCACAUUGGGCUGACCUUCUUCAGCACAAGGUCAUUUACCUAUUCUACUCCAUCUUCAGCCUGUUAGGAGGGCUGCUUUUUGUCUCUACUUGUCCUCUGUAGCCUUCCCAUAAAUCAAAGUUCUAGGAUAGUAUCAUACACUCCAGACAGGGCAGGACAGGUCCUUCUACUUUCAUUGUCCUUAACUUUCACUGUCCUUAACUUGAGCUCGCUGCAUGUCCUACAGGACUGGCUCAACCUUGCUAUCCUUACCAACCUCACCAAAACCCUUCUGCUAAGAUCACCUCCUAAUUGAAGAGUGAAAAGAUUCUUUUCCAUUUAUACUAUAGUUAUACUUUUCAGCUUUAAAUACCACUUAGUUUUGUUUUGUUUGCUUUUAUUACUUUAAUUUUUAAAACAUUACAUACUGUAUUGUACUAUACUUACAGAGAAUUAUGUAUAUACUUACACUUGCAUAGAUCAGUAUGCAUUGGUCUGUAUUCAUGACACAGAGGAUAUGGAACAAUUCUAACACCCUGAAUAAUUCUCUUUUCCUGUCCCUUUGUAUUCAGUCUCCCCCUUCCUAAUCCUUAACAACCACUGACAAGUUUUCUGUCUUACAUUUUUUUACUUUUCCAUAAUGUCAUAUAAAUAGAAUCAUAUAAAAUGUAAGUUUUUGAGACUAGGUUCUUUUACUUAGCACACUGAGAAUCAGGGACAUUGGGCAAUGUCUGGAGACCUUGUUAGUUAACUUGUCAGGGAAGAGUGUUACUGUCAUCUAGUGGAUAAAGUCCAAGGAUGCAACAAAAUAACCUACAGUGCACAGGAUGCCCUACAAGUCAUUCGGCCCAAAAAAGUCAAGAGCCCUGCUGUUGAGAAAUCUUAAUUUAGCACAAUGUACUUGAGAUUCAUUCAUAUUGUUGUAUGCUUCAAUAGUUAAUUUUAUUGCUGAGUAGCAUUCCAUUGUGUGGAUGUACGACAAUUUAUUUACCCAUUUAUCCCUGUAAAACAUCUGGAUUGUUUCCAAGUGUGAACAACUAUAAAUAAUGCUGCUGUAAACCUGCAUGCACAGGUUUUGAAUGACAUGUUUCCUUUCUCUAGGAUACAUACCCAGAAGUGUGAUGUGUGGCUCACAUGAGUGUAUGUUAGCUUUUCAGAAACCAUGAAAUGGUUUCCAGAGCGGCUAUAGGUGUGACACUGCAGAUCAAGGCAGAGAACAGCUCCAGCACCCUAGAAGCCCUCUUUGGGGCUCUUUCUAUUACAGCUCUACACUCAAAGGUGAAUAGCAUCCUAACUUCUAAUAGCAGAGAUUCAGUGUAAAUGUUUUGAACUGUAUAUAACCGAAAUAAUAAAAUACAAGCUCUGCUUUUUCUGGCUUCUAUCUGUCAAUAUUUUGUUUGUGAAAUUCAUCAAUAGUAUUGUGUGUAGUUUUGAUCAUUGAUACUCAUUAAUGCACAGGGCUCGUUUGUGUGAGUAUACCACAUUUUAAUUUUACAUUCUCUUCCUGAUGACUCUUUUGCCAUUCUUUUUAUUGAGUUUUAAUUUUUAUUCAAUAAACCAUACCCAUUUUAAGUGUACAGUUCAAUGAGCUAUGACAAGUAUAUAUACUGGUGGGAACACCACCACUAUCAAGAGACAAGAUACUUCAUAACAACAAAAAUAUUUCCUCAUUCCCUGCAGAUACAUCUACUCCCAGGCACAUACUGAUCAGCUUUCUUUAUUUAGCUAUAGCUUAGCUUGGUCAUUUAUAGAAUUGCCUGUAAAUAGAAACAUAUAUUAUAUACUCUUUUGUGUCUGACUUCUCUGGCUGUGCCUGUGUUUCGGGUUUGUUUAUGUUUUUGUGUGUAUCAGCAAUCUCUAUUUUUAUUUCUGAAUAACAUUUCAACUAUAUGAAUGUAAAAAUUUGUUUAUUCACUUGCUGUUGGGCAUUUUAAUACUCCAGCUUUGGCUUAUGAUGCAUAAACCAUUAAUUUAUGAAAAAUUAUGUACAAGUCUUUGUGUGGACAUGGAUUUUCAUUUCCUUGAGUAAAUAAAUAAGUAUUAAAUACUGGAUCCUAUGCUAUAUUUAUGUUUAACUUUAUAAUAACUGCCAAAGUAAUUUCCAAAUUGGUUGAUUUAUUAGUCUGUUUUCAUACUGCUAUAAAGAACUUCCUGAAACUGGGUAAUUUAUAAAUGAAAGAGGUUUAAUUGACUCACAAUUCCGUAUGUCUGGGGAGACCUCAGGAAACGUACAAUCAUGGCAGAAGUUGAAGGGGAGGCAGGCACCUUCUUCACAUGGUGGCAAGAGAGAGAAUGAAUGCAGGAGAAACUACCGAACAAUUAUAAAACCAUCAGAUCUUGAGAGAACGCAUUCACUAUCAUGAGAACAGCAUAGGGCUAACCGCCCCCAUAAUUCAAUUACCUCUACCUGAUCAAUCCCUUGAUGAGUGGGGAUUAUGGGGAUUUUGAAGAUUACAAUUCAAGAUGAGAUUUUCGGUGAGGACACAGGCAAACCAUAUCAGUUGUACCAUUUUGCAUUCUCAAUAGUUAAACCUAAGAGUCCUAGUUGUUUAACAUCCUCACCAACAGUUUUUGGCAAGGUUUUGUUUGGUUUUUAAUUUUAGCCAUUCUAAUUGAUGUCCAAUGGUAUCUCAUUAGGGUUAGAAUUUGGUGGUUGUAGUGUUCUCUGUAUGUCAGAUUUUUUUAUCCUUUAUAUCCGUUAUUGAUUUCUGUCUAUUUAUUUUAUCAAUUACCAAGAGAGAACUGUUAAAAUCUCCAGCUAUAUUGUAGACACGGCUAUUUUUCCU